This 385-nucleotide transfer-messenger RNA is filed under the name Christensenella timonensis. RNAcentral describes it as "Standard tmRNA". It matches the Rfam family "transfer-messenger RNA". From Rfam's summary of the family: Bacterial tmRNA, also known as 10Sa RNA or SsrA, is named for its dual tRNA and mRNA-like properties. Its role is to liberate the mRNA from a stalled ribosome. To accomplish this part of the tmRNA is used as a reading frame that ends in a translation stop signal. The record is from RNAcentral. Lineage: Bacteria; Bacillati; Bacillota; Clostridia; Christensenellales; Christensenellaceae.
GGGGGCGUAAAUGGUUUCGACGGGGGCAUUUGUGAGGCCGAUAAGCAAGCCGCAGUUUCAGAAGUUCUGCGUUAAAAAAUCUGACUUAAAUACAAAUGCUAAAACAAACAAAACUGCAGAGGUGGGUUCUCCCGCUCUGCUCGCUGCUUAAUUAAAUAGCAGCCUUCCGACCUCUCUUUUCCUGUUUGGGAGAGAAUCGGGAGCAAAUUUAAAACAGGGUACUAUAUUGCCAAAGCUUUGCGGCAAUACGGAUUUUAUGAAGCUACCUCUUACGGUUUUUGUGGCUGGGGGCCUAAAAGAGGGAAUUUAACAAAAGCCAAUAAGCUUGUAGAAAGUCGGUCGGGCAGGCUUUCGGACGCGGGUUCGACUCCCGCCGCCUCCACCA